UACGUAGGGGCCAAGCGUUGUCCGGAUUUAUUGGGCGUAAAGAGCUCGUAGGCGGUUCGGCAAGUCAGCUGUGAAAUCUCCACGCUCAACGUGGAGGGGUCAGCUGAUACUGCUGUGACUUGAGUCCGGUAGGGGAGUGUGGAAUUCCCGGUGUAGCGGUGAAAUGCGCAGAUAUCGGAAGGAACACCAGUAGCGAAGGCGGCGCGCUGGAUCUCUUCUGACGCUGAGGCGCGAAAGCCAGGGGAGCAAACGGG
Molecule: ribosomal RNA, 254 nt
Filed under: uncultured bacterium
Lineage: Bacteria
Description: partial 16S ribosomal RNA
Rfam family: Bacterial small subunit ribosomal RNA
Source: RNAcentral